Molecule: microRNA precursor, 94 nt
Filed under: Canis lupus familiaris (dog)
Lineage: Eukaryota; Metazoa; Chordata; Mammalia; Carnivora; Canidae
Also listed under: 1 other name
Description: mir-8799 microRNA precursor family
Rfam family: mir-8799 microRNA precursor family
Source: Rfam by way of RNAcentral
GGGGGGAGCGCAGGUUCCUGGGCUGUGCCCCUGCACCCUGGGAUCCGGGGCCUGCGCUGCUGGAAUGGUGCUCCCGGGGGCCUCUCAGCCCCCU